This 66-nucleotide transfer RNA is filed under the name Geomys pinetis (southeastern pocket gopher). RNAcentral describes it as "tRNA-Cys". The record is from RNAcentral. Lineage: Eukaryota; Metazoa; Chordata; Mammalia; Rodentia; Geomyidae.
AGUCUCGAGGUGACUUUCAUGUUGAAUUGCAAAUUCAAAGGAGCAGCUUCAAUCCUGCCGGGACUU